RNAcentral lists this ribosomal RNA (718 nucleotides) under Citrobacter sp. 76.5_d_2. RNAcentral's name for it is "bacterial SSU rRNA". It matches the Rfam family "Bacterial small subunit ribosomal RNA", at positions 731 to 1451 of the family's 1533-position model. Lineage: Bacteria; Pseudomonadati; Pseudomonadota; Gammaproteobacteria; Enterobacterales; Enterobacteriaceae. The record is from RNAcentral.
GGACAAAGACUGACGNUCAGGUGCGAAAGCGUGGGGAGCAAACAGGAUUAGAUACCNNGGUANNNCACGCCGUAAACGAUGUCGACUUGGAGGUUGUUCCCUUGAGGAGUGGCUUCCGGAGCUAACGCGUUAAGUCGACCGCCUGGGGAGUACGGCCGCAAGGUUAAAACUCAAAUGAAUUGACGGGGGCCCGCACAAGCGGUGGAGCAUGUGGUUUAAUUCGAUGCAACGCGAAGAACCUUACCUACUCUUGACAUCCAGAGAACUUAGCAGAGAUGCUUUGGUGCCUUCGGGAACUCUGAGACAGGUGCUGCAUGGCUGUCGUCAGCUCGUGUUGUGAAAUGUUGGGUUAAGUCCCGCAACGAGCGCAACCCUUAUCCUUUGUUGCCAGCGGUUCGGCCGGGAACUCAAAGGAGACUGCCAGUGAUAAACUGGAGGAAGGUGGGGAUGACGUCAAGUCAUCAUGGCCCUUACGAGUAGGGCUACACACGUGCUACAAUGGCAUAUACAAAGAGAAGCGACCUCGCGAGAGCAAGCGGACCUCAUAAAGUAUGUCGUAGUCCGGAUUGGAGUCUGCAACUCGACUCCAUGAAGUCGGAAUCGCUAGUAAUCGUAGAUCAGAAUGCUACGGUGAAUACGUUCCCGGGCCUUGUACACACCGCCCGUCACACCAUGGGAGUGGGUUGCAAAAGAAGUAGGUAGCUUAACCUCGGAGGGC